RNAcentral lists this ribosomal RNA (292 nucleotides) under uncultured prokaryote. RNAcentral describes it as "partial 16S ribosomal RNA". It matches the Rfam family "Bacterial small subunit ribosomal RNA", at positions 505 to 796 of the family's 1533-position model. The record is from RNAcentral.
GUGCCAGCCGCCGCGGUAAUCCGGAGGGUGCGAGCGUUAAUCGGAAUUACUGGGCGUAAAGCGUGCGCAGGUGGUUUGUUAAGCGAGAUGUGAAAGCCCCGGGCUCAACCUGGGAAUAGCAUUUCGAACUGGCAAACUAGAGUCUUGUAGAGGGGGGUAGAAUUCCAGGUGUAGCGGUGAAAUGCGUAGAGAUCUGGAGGAAUACCGGUGGCGAAGGCGGCCCCCUGGACAAAGACUGACACUCAGAUGCGAAAGCGUGGGGAGCAAACAGGAUUAGAUACCCCAGUAGUCC